RNAcentral lists this ribosomal RNA (654 nucleotides) under uncultured archaeon. Its description in RNAcentral is "bacterial SSU rRNA". It matches the Rfam family "Archaeal small subunit ribosomal RNA", at positions 508 to 1160 of the family's 1478-position model. The record is from RNAcentral.
GCCUAAAGCGUCCGUAGCCGGCUCUGUAAGUUUUCGGUUAAAUCUGUACGCUUAACGUACAGGCCGCCGGGAAUACUGCAGAGCUAGGGAGUGGGAGAGGUAGACGGUACUCGGGAGGAAGUGGUAAAAUGCUUUGAUCUCUCGAUGACCACCUGUGUCGAAGGCGGUCUACCAGAACACGUCCGACGGUGAGGGAUGAAAGCUGGGGGGGCAAACCGGAUUAGAUACCCGGGUAGUCCCAGCUGUAAACUAUGCAAACUCAGUGAUGCAUUGGCUUGUGGCCAAUGCAGUGUUGCAGGGAAGCCGUUAAGUUUGCCGCCUGGGAAGUACGUACGCAAGUAUGAAACUUAAAGGAAUUGGCGGGGGAGCACCACAAGGGGUGAAGCCUGCGGUUCAAUUGGAGUCAACGCCAGAAAUCUUACCCGGAGAGACAGCAGAAUGAAGGUCAAGCUGAAGACUUUACCAGACAAGCUGAGAGGUGGUGCAUGGCCGCCGCCAGCUCGUGCCGUGAGAUGUCCUGUUAAGUCAGGUAACGAGCGAGAUCCCUGCCUCUAGUUGCCACCAUUACUCUCAGGAGUAGUGGGGCGAAUUAGCGGGACCGCCGCAGUUAAUGCGGAGGAAGGAAGGGGCCACGGCAGGUCAGUAUGCCCCGAA